GCCAGACUCCUACGGGAGGCAGCAGUGGGGAAUAUUGCACAAUGGGCGCAAGCCUGAUGCAGCCAUGCCGCGUGUAUGAAGAAGGCCUUCGGGUUGUAAAGUACUUUCAGCGGGGAGGAAGGCGAUAAGGUUAAUAACCUUGUUGAUUGACGUUACCCGCAGAAGAAGCACCGGCUAACUCCGUGCCAGCAGCCGCGGUAAUACGGAGGGUGCAAGCGUUAAUCGGAAUUACUGGGCGUAAAGCGCACGCAGGCGGUCUGUCAAGUCGGAUGUGAAAUCCCCGGGCUCAACCUGGGAACUGCAUUCGAAACUGGCAGGCUGGAGUCUUGUAGAGGGGGGUAGAAUUCCAGGUGUAGCGGUGAAAUGCGUAGAGAUCUGGAGGAAUACCGGUGGCGAAGGCGGCCUCCUGGGACGCAACUGACGCUCAUACACGAAAGCGUGGGGAGCAAACAGGAUUAGAUACCCCUGUAA
Molecule: ribosomal RNA, 471 nt
Filed under: uncultured bacterium
Lineage: Bacteria
Description: bacterial SSU rRNA
Rfam family: Bacterial small subunit ribosomal RNA
Source: RNAcentral